This 1451-nucleotide ribosomal RNA is filed under the name uncultured organism. Its description in RNAcentral is "16S ribosomal RNA". It matches the Rfam family "Bacterial small subunit ribosomal RNA". The record is from RNAcentral.
UGGCGGCAGGCCUAACACAUGCAAGUCGAGCGGUAGCACAGAGAGCUUGCUCUCGGGUGACGAGCGGCGGACGGGUGAGUAAUGUCUGGGAAACUGCCUGAUGGAGGGGGAUAACUACUGGAAACGGUAGCUAAUACCGCAUAAUGUCGCAAGACCAAAGUGGGGGACCUUCGGGCCUCAUGCCAUCAGAUGUGCCCAGAUGGGAUUAGCUAGUAGGUGGGGUAACGGCUCACCUAGGCGACGAUCCCUAGCUGGUCUGAGAGGAUGACCAGCCACACUGGAACUGAGACACGGUCCAGACUCCUACGGGAGGCAGCAGUGGGGAAUAUUGCACAAUGGGCGCAAGCCUGAUGCAGCCAUGCCGCGUGUGUGGAGAAGGCCUUCGGGUUGUAAAGCACUUUCAGCGGGGAGGAAGGCGGUGAGGUUAAUAACCUCAUCGAUUGACGUUACCCGCAGAAGAAGCACCGGCUAACUCCGUGCCAGCAGCCGCGGUAAUACGGAGGGUGCAAGCGUUAAUCGGAAUUACUGGGCGUAAAGCGCACGCAGGCGGUCUGUCAAGUCGGAUGUGAAAUCCCCGGGCUUAACCUGGGAACUGCAUUCGAAACUGGCAGGCUAGAGUCUUGUAGAGGGGGGUAGAAUUCCAGGUGUAGCGGUGAAAUGCGUAGAGAUCUGGAGGAAUACCGGUGGCGAAGGCGGCCCCCUGGACAAAGACUGACGCUCAGGUGCGAAAGCGUGGGGAGCAAACAGGAUUAGAUACCCUGGUAGUCCACGCCGUAAACGAUGUCGAUUUGGAGGUUGUGCCCUUGAGGCGUGGCUUCCGGAGCUAACGCGUUAAAUCGACCGCCUGGGGAGUACGGCCGCAAGGUUAAAACUCAAAUGAAUUGACGGGGGCCCGCACAAGCGGUGGAGCAUGUGGUUUAAUUCGAUGCAACGCGAAGAACCUUACCUGGUCUUGACAUCCACAGAACUUUCCAGAGAUGGAUUGGUGCCUUCGGGAACUGUGAGACAGGUGCUGCAUGGCUGUCGUCAGCUCGUGUUGUGAAAUGUUGGGUUAAGUCCCGCAACGAGCGCAACCCUUAUCCUUUGUUGCCAGCGGUUAGGCCGGGAACUCAAAGGAGACUGCCAGUGAUAAACUGGAGGAAGGUGGGGAUGACGUCAAGUCAUCAUGGCCCUUACGACCAGGGCUACACACGUGCUACAAUGGCAUAUACAAAGAGAAGCGACCUCGCGAGAGCAAGCGGACCUCAUAAAGUAUGUCGUAGUCCGGAUUGGAGUCUGCAACUCGACUCCAUGAAGUCGGAAUCGCUAGUAAUCGUAGAUCAGAAUGCUACGGUGAAUACGUUCCCGGGCCUUGUACACACCGCCCGUCACACCAUGGGAGUGGGUUGCAAAAGAAGUAGGUAGCUUAACCUUCGGGAGGGCGCUUACCACUUUGUGAUUCAUGACUGGGG